This 521-nucleotide non-coding RNA is filed under the name Pan troglodytes (chimpanzee). Lineage: Eukaryota; Metazoa; Chordata; Mammalia; Primates; Hominidae. The record is from RNAcentral.
ACGUCACUUCCGGAAGCGACUCGCGCAGGCGCCGUCCGCCCUCGUUGCCAUGGAGACGCUUGCGCUUUCCCGGGCCGCACUUCCCACCCGCGUCUUCAGAAGCCCGUGGCCGCUGGGUGACCCCUGCGUGAACGCACACGCACGCACACGGCUUCAGGUUGCCCCGCGGCGCCGCGCGCGAUAUCGGCUCGGAUCCCGGGAGGCCGUCCGCCCCUUUUUCAGCGGAUAGCUGAGGCCAGCUACAAUGAAGACACAGGUAAAAUAAUGAAGAUGUCAGCCUCUCUACUCCCAGAUGUGGACCAAAGACACAGAGUGUUAAUUUGAAGUGGAUUCUGUAUAAUCUGGGGAGUAGUUCCCCCCAUACCAUCAUAUGCCACAGGGGGAAACAUGAAGAUGUAUAACUUGGAUAUUACUUUGUAGACUAAUUAUCUCCAAAACGCAUAGAUGGCAGCUAGGACUCGAGACAAAAGGACUCCCUGGGAAGAAGCGAAAGCAGGUUCUUCACUGAGCACAUUGUUUGG